Molecule: ribosomal RNA, 468 nt
Filed under: uncultured bacterium
Lineage: Bacteria
Description: partial 16S ribosomal RNA
Rfam family: Bacterial small subunit ribosomal RNA
Source: RNAcentral
GACGAACGCUGGCGGCGUGCUUAACACAUGCAAGUCGAACGGAAAGGCCCUGCUUUUGUGGGGUGCUCGAGUGGCGAACGGGUGAGUAACACGUGAGUAACCUGCCCUUGACUUUGGGAUAACUUCAGGAAACUGGGGCUAAUACCGGAUAGGAGCUCCUGCUGCAUGGGGGGGGUUGGAAAGUUUCGGCGGUUGGGGAUGGACUCGCGGCUUAUCGGCUUGUUGGUGGGGUAGUGGCUUACCAAGGCUUUGACGGGUAGCCGGCCUGAGAGGGUGACCGGCCACAUUGGGACUGAGAUACGGCCCAGACUCCUACGGGAGGCAGCAGUGGGGAAUAUUGCACAAUGGGCGGAAGCCUGAUGCAGCAACGCCGCGUGCGGGAUGACGGCCUUCGGGUUGUAAACCGCUUUCGCCUGUGACGAAGCGUGAGUGACGGUAAUGGGUAAAGAAGCACCGGCUAACUACGUG